UCCGGCCAUAUCAUGUUGAAACACCGGUUCCCAUACGAUCACCGAAGUGAAGCAACGUCGAGCCUGGUCAGUAUCUAGUUGGGUGACCACUUAGGAAUACCAGGUGCUGUAAG
Acanthosepion pharaonis is the source of this 113-nucleotide non-coding RNA. The record is from the annotation of a GenBank genome assembly. NCBI's taxonomy places the organism in Eukaryota, Metazoa, Mollusca, Cephalopoda, Sepiida, Sepiidae.